This 106-nucleotide small nuclear RNA is filed under the name Castor canadensis (American beaver). Lineage: Eukaryota; Metazoa; Chordata; Mammalia; Rodentia; Castoridae. The record is from RNAcentral.
GUGCUCACUUCGGCAGCACAUAUACUAAAACUGGAACGACACAGAGAAUAUUAGCAUGGCCCUGUGCAAGGACAACACGCAAAUCCGUGAAGCAUUCCUUAUUUUU